RNAcentral lists this ribosomal RNA (600 nucleotides) under Acinetobacter radioresistens. RNAcentral's name for it is "bacterial SSU rRNA". It matches the Rfam family "Bacterial small subunit ribosomal RNA", at positions 132 to 726 of the family's 1533-position model. Lineage: Bacteria; Pseudomonadati; Pseudomonadota; Gammaproteobacteria; Moraxellales; Moraxellaceae. The record is from RNAcentral.
AUUAGUGGGGGACAACGUUCCGAAAGGAGCGCUAAUACCGCAUACGUCCUACGGGAGAAAGCAGGGGACCUUUGGGCCUUGCGCUAAUAGAUGAGCCUAAGUCGGAUUAGCUAGUUGGUAGGGUAAAGGCCUACCAAGGCGACGAUCUGUAGCGGGUCUGAGAGGAUGAUCCGCCACACUGGGACUGAGACACGGCCCAGACUCCUACGGGAGGCAGCAGUGGGGAAUAUUGGACAAUGGGGGGAACCCUGAUCCAGCCAUGCCGCGUGUGUGAAGAAGGCCUUUUGGUUGUAAAGCACUUUAAGCGAGGAGGAGGCUACCUAGAUUAAUACUUUAGGAUAGUGGACGUUACUCGCAGAAUAAGCACCGGCUAACUCUGUGCCAGCAGCCGCGGUAAUACAGAGGGUGCGAGCGUUAAUCGGAUUUACUGGGCGUAAAGCGUGCGUAGGCGGCCAAUUAAGUCAAAUGUGAAAUCCCCGAGCUUAACUUGGGAAUUGCAUUCGAUACUGGUUGGCUAGAGUAUGGGAGAGGAUGGUAGAAUUCCAGGUGUAGCGGUGAAAUGCGUAGAGAUCUGGAGGAAUACCGAUGGCGAAGGCAGCC